GGCGGAGGUGGGGGAGAAUCUAACAGAGGAGGAGGAGGCGAAGCCGGGGAAGAAUCUAGCAGCGGAGGAGGGUGAAUUUUUUUUCAGCGGGACAGGUCUGUGCUCCUUCCGACCUUCCCCCAUGGAUUUCAUCGUUUCUUGGUUGAGGACAUGUGCGUGCAUGUAUUCUAGUUUGUGCUAAUGCCUGUGUUAUGAUCUGCCUUUGUCUGAUGUUACCCUCUUGUCAUCAUCAGUAAUGAAAAAGGUUGGCUGUCAGAUCUUAAUUUUGUGAUCUGCUCCUUUAAUAGUAUAUCAUGAUGAUGUUGAUGCAGAUUUGCAUCCGUGUUGGAUUAGAUUAUCCUGAUAUUGUUCUAAUUUGUGAGCAUGAGUGAAAUUUUGAAUUGUUAGAUGAAAUCCUCAUAUUAUUGCCUAACAUGUUUGUGUAUUUCUGAAUUUUAACAUGGUUUACCCCUGCAUAAACAGUAUUUGGACUAUGUUAGUAUGCUUAGGAUACUCCAUUAUGUUUAUUAAUGGCACAUCAUUACAUUUUUUCUCAAAAUUUACCUGUAUCUAUCAUAUACUGGAGUACGGCCUCACGGUCACAGGAUGUGUUUUGCUGUUCUGAACCAUGAGAUUGUGUUUAGGUAGGCCAAGAUCAUUCUAGCUUUGAUAGUCUGUAUUUUGCACAGAUUUUAUUUACCUACAACAAGCCGAUUUACAUGUUUUUCUGGUGUUUUAUUUUCCUGAUGAUAUCAUCGCUGUGGAAAAUAAUUUAAUUGGUAAGUUGACCAUAAUAGUCAUACUGGACACAUCCAAAACUAUCCAUGUGAAAUAUCAAACCGUAUUUUCAUUCCCACUUGAGCUUAAACAGGCGAAAGAUUGUGUAUGCAGUUAUUUUAAGGUAUAUUCAUUGAGACUGUACUGAGUACAUAUUAUUCCAAGGGAGCUAGAUAGAUUUCAGUCCUUGAUGCAACAGCAGGAGAACCUACAUGUAAUUCAUGAGACUGUGCAUGUUCUUCUUACCUUUCUCUUUGACCCUAGAUAUUUUGUUGGACUAGUUAACUUUGUGGUAGCGGCAACUCUGCAGUAAAGGUCUUUGUCCAGUAUGCAAUUGCGUGUGGUCCUUAGGUAUUGUUCUUUAAGGGUGCUUUUAUUUCUUCACUAGUAUUUCUUCUUAAAAGUUUGCUGCUGGGUACUGUUUAGGGGAUGUAUUGAUGCCCUGUGGAUGUCUGAACUAACUCAGUUGCGGAACUCAAUUGUUGAUACUUUCUUUCUGGUUGUGUUGAUCAAAGAUGCUAUGUGUUGUUUGACUUAAAAUCGCGUAGGCAUGGGAAUGCUUUUGCAAUAUGUUAUUAGCUUUUGGCCUUCAGUUCUUUAUGUAUAUCUGACUUCUAGUGCAUUCUCUAUUUUCUUAAAGAAUGCCGUGUUGGACCUCUAGUUCCGCCACACCGCCGCUUCGGCAGAUCCUUCAAUUUCGACGGCCUUAGCCGCAUGCCGUAACAUACUAUUGGCCAUUUUGCAACAAUAUGACAGUUUGAUAUCAUUUUUUAUUUGAUUGGAUCCACCUCUCGUGAUGGAUAUGUAAACCUUGGCGAUUUACACCAUUGGAUUUUCGUUCCUGCCAGAGGACACCGAAGACACCAAAGCACUCGAGAGGAGAUGGCGGGCCAGCGGACCAGCCACUUCUCCAAAUUGCCGCCGGCGACCUCAUCCGCGCCGAGCUCGUGUCCAUCGGUCUGCAGGUGAGGAUAGCUUAUUCCUGAACUGAUAACUUUAGUUUAGAUUUUCUAUCCCCUAUAUUAUGCAAGCUGGGGUUCUAGACUUCUAGUAUCUGAUGCAGGUGGAGCAUAAUUUCAACAGAGUACAUAUGCAAUAAGAGAGUAAUUAUAAGAUUGGAAUUGCAGGAUGUUGGGCUGAGAGAGGUCGGAGGCAAAUCGUGGCUCAUCCGGGGUGGAACGGGAGAAGGGGCCUUGGAGCGGCAGCGCGAGAGGGGCUGACGCUAG
Lolium rigidum is the source of this 1982-nucleotide long non-coding RNA. RefSeq lists it as uncharacterized. Lineage: Eukaryota; Viridiplantae; Streptophyta; Magnoliopsida; Poales; Poaceae. The record is from RefSeq and is a predicted model, not a curated record. The transcript has 3 exons.